RNAcentral lists this ribosomal RNA (226 nucleotides) under uncultured bacterium. Its description in RNAcentral is "partial 16S ribosomal RNA". It matches the Rfam family "Bacterial small subunit ribosomal RNA", at positions 524 to 746 of the family's 1533-position model. The record is from RNAcentral.
UACGUAGGGUGCGAGCGUUGUCCGGAAUUAUUGGGCGUAAAGAGCUUGUAGGUGGUUUGUCGCGUCUGCUGUGAAAAUCCGAGGCUCAACCUCGGACUUGCAGUGGGUACGGGCAGACUAGAGUGUGGGUAGGGGGAGACUGGAAUUCCUGGUGUAGCGGUGGAAUGCGCAGAUAUCAGGAGGAACACCGAUGGCGAAGGCAGGUCUCUGGGCCCAUUACUGACAC